AGAGUUUGAUUCCCGGCUCAGGACGAACGCUGGCGGCGUGCUUAACACAUGCAAGUCGAACGGUGAUGUCAGAGCUUGCUCUGGCGGAUCAGUGGCGAACGGGUGAGUAACACGUGAGUAACCUGCCCCCGACUCUGGGAUAACUGCUAGAAAUGGUAGCUAAUACCGGAUAUGACGACUGGCCGCAUGGUCUGGUCGUGGAAAGAAUUUCGGUUGGGGAUGGACUCGCGGCCUAUCAGGUUGUUGGUGAGGUAAUGGCUCACCAAGCCUACGACGGGUAGCCGGCCUGAGAGGGUGACCGGCCACACUGGGACUGAGACACGGCCCAGACUCCUACGGGAGGCAGCAGUGGGGAAUAUUGCACAAUGGGCGCAAGCCUGAUGCAGCAACGCCGCGUGAGGGAUGACGGCCUUCGGGUUGUAAACCUCUUUUAGUAGGGAAGAAGCGAAAGUGACGGACCUGCAGAAAAAGCACC
RNAcentral lists this ribosomal RNA (475 nucleotides) under Clavibacter sp. pfB28. RNAcentral describes it as "bacterial SSU rRNA". It matches the Rfam family "Bacterial small subunit ribosomal RNA", at positions 8 to 494 of the family's 1533-position model. Lineage: Bacteria; Bacillati; Actinomycetota; Actinomycetes; Micrococcales; Microbacteriaceae. The record is from RNAcentral.